RNAcentral lists this ribosomal RNA (839 nucleotides) under candidate division TM7 oral clone 1de-1. Its description in RNAcentral is "bacterial SSU rRNA". It matches the Rfam family "Bacterial small subunit ribosomal RNA", at positions 41 to 895 of the family's 1533-position model. The record is from RNAcentral. Lineage: Bacteria; Candidatus Saccharimonadota.
GGCAUGCCUAACACAUGCAAGUCGAGCGGUAACAGGNNCNAAAGCUUGCUUUUCUGCUGACGAGCGGCGGACGGCUGAGUAACGCGUGGGAAUUUGCCCCAAAGUGAGGGAUAACUGCCCGAAAGGGUAGCUAAUACCGCAUAUGGUCUUCGGAUUAAAGGAUUUAUCUGCUUUGGGAGAAGCCCGCGUUGGAUUAGGUAGUUGGUAGGGUAAUGGCCUACCAAGCCGACGAUCCAUAGCUGGUCUGAGAGGAUGAUCAGCCAGACUGGAACUGAGACACGGUCCAGACUCACUACGGGAGGCAGCAGUGAGGAAUCUUCCACAAUGGGCGAAAGCCUGAUGGAGCAACGCCGCGUGAAGGAUGAAGGNCCUUCGGGUUGUAAACUUCUUUUAUGAGUGAAGAAUAUGACGGUAACUCAUGAAUAAAGCCACCGGCUAACUACGUGCCAGCAGCCGCGGUCAUACGUANGGUGCAAGCAUUAUCCGGAGUGACUGGGCGUAAGGAGUUGCGUAGGCGGUUUAGUAAGUGAAUAGUGAAACCUGGUGGCUCAACCAUACAGACUAUUAUUCAAACUGCUAAACUCGAGAGUGGUAGAGGUAACUGGAAUUUCUAGUGUAGGAGUGAAAUCCGUAGAUAUUAGAAGGAACACCAAUGGCGUAGGCAGGUUACUGGACCAUUUCUGACGCUAAGGCACGAAAAGCGUGGGGAGCGAACGGGAUUAGAUACCCCGGUAGUCCACGCCGUAAACGAAUGGAUACUAGCUGUUGGAGGUAUCGACCCCUCCAGUAGCGAAGCUAACGCGUUAAGUAUCCCGCCUGUGGAGUACGGCCGCAAGGCU